AUUGAACGCUGGCGGCAUGCCUUACACAUGCAAGUCGAACGGUAACGGGCCUUCGGGUGCCGACGAGUGGCGAACGGGUGAGUAAUACAUCGGAACGUGCCCGAUCGUGGGGGAUAACGAGGCGAAAGCUUUGCUAAUACCGCAUACGAUCUACGGAUGAAAGAAGGGGACCGCAAGGCCUUGCGCGGACGGAGCGGCCGAUGGCAGAUUAGGUAGUUGGUGGGAUAAAAGCUUACCAAGCCGACGAUCUGUAGCUGGUCUGAGAGGAUGAUCAGCCACACUGGGACUGAGACACGGCCCAGACUCCUACGGGAGGCAGCAGUGGGGAAUUUUGGACAAUGGGCGCAAGCCUGAUCCAGCCAUGCCGCGUGCAGGAUGAAGGCCUUCGGGUUGUAAACUGCUCUUGUACGGAACGAAAAGCCUUCUUUUAAUACAGGAGGGUCAUGACGGUACCGUAAGAAUAAGCACCGGCUAACUACGUG
RNAcentral lists this ribosomal RNA (482 nucleotides) under uncultured bacterium. RNAcentral describes it as "partial 16S ribosomal RNA". It matches the Rfam family "Bacterial small subunit ribosomal RNA", at positions 30 to 507 of the family's 1533-position model. The record is from RNAcentral.